Oreochromis aureus is the source of this 1017-nucleotide long non-coding RNA. Lineage: Eukaryota; Metazoa; Chordata; Actinopteri; Cichliformes; Cichlidae. The record is from Ensembl.
UGAUUCCUUCACGUGUAAAUGUCAGAUUUGGAGCAUCUAAAACUUUACUCAGUCUCUGUUGUGCUAAUGAUGUCAUAGUCGAACGCCUGCGAGUUCACAUAUGCCACCACACUAUGUGUAGUCAGAACUUUUAGUGGGUGUUCUCUCACUGCAUGUGCUGUUUUCUAUAUUAUUUUGGCAACCCCUGCUGCAUGCUGUGCGCAUGUAGGGUGCCUUGCUUCUGUUGGACUCCACCUUAUGCUGACAUACAUAAGUACCUGUCUUUCUUUAUUCAAUCAUCUUCCGGGGGUGAGAGACCUCUGCAGAGCUCAAACGCCAGUUGCAAGAGCUCUCUAACAUUAGAAUCAUCAGCUGUGACCUAUAUGGUGUUAUUUCGGUACUUUACACGUCACACAGGCUUGAACGUUGUUUAUAUGGGGAGUUCCUCUUUUUUGUGUCUAUAUCUAUUAAUAUGCCUUGUGCACUAAAACUUCCUGUUUUUCAGUCUGGCUGAGCUCUUGUUUGUAAGUCAAAGGUGGCCUUGCUCUACAAGCCUUCAUUAUUAAAAUACACAUUAAAAAUAUUUCUUUUAUUCCUAACACCAGUCCCCCUUUUUCAUUUUUCACUUGAGAAAUGAACUAAUUCCUAAUUUAUCACAUUAAGUUUACUUCAAUACAAUUCAAUUGAAUUUUAUUUAUAUAGCGCUAAAUCACAACAAAAAUUGCCUCCAGGCGCUUCAUAGAUACAGAGAAAAACCCAACAAUCUUGUGACGCCCUAUGAGCAAGCACUUUGGCAACAGUGGGAAGGAAAAACUCCCUUUUAACAGGAAGAAACCUCCGACAGAACCACGCUCAGGUACGGGCAACCAUCUGCUGCGACCGCUUGGCGUGAGCUAACAGAGGCUUUGAAGAGAGAGACCUAAUAUUUAAUAAUCCACAUUUCACUGUUUUAUUCUUCGGUUCAGAUGUGGAUUCUGUAUUGUUCUUGCUUUGUUACUAUUGAUGUUUAAGUUGUUUUAUUGCUAGAUUUGGUUUGUU